CUCGUAGGCGGUCUGUCGCGUCGGAUGUGAAAAUCCAGGGCUCAACCCUGGACCUGCAUUCGAUACGGGCAGACUAGAGUACGGCAGGGGAGACUGGAAUUCCUGGUGUAGCGGUGAAAUGCGCAGAUAUCAGGAGGAACACCGGUGGCGAAGGCGGGUCUCUGGGCCGAAACUGACGCUGAGGAGCGAAAGCGUGGGAGCAAACA
Molecule: ribosomal RNA, 206 nt
Filed under: uncultured bacterium
Lineage: Bacteria
Description: partial 16S ribosomal RNA
Rfam family: Bacterial small subunit ribosomal RNA
Source: RNAcentral